Octopus sinensis (East Asian common octopus) is the source of this 235-nucleotide long non-coding RNA. RefSeq lists it as uncharacterized. The transcript has 3 exons. Lineage: Eukaryota; Metazoa; Mollusca; Cephalopoda; Octopoda; Octopodidae. The record is from RefSeq and is a predicted model, not a curated record.
GGACCAGUGACCUCAUGUAGAAGGAGUCGGAGGUAGAAGCAUUCUUGCUGGUUUGGCGGGAUGUUGUAAACUCGACCCAGGCAGGAGUCAAACUUGACACCUGGGAAGCCUUCGACGAUUUUGCCGGAUUUCCGUCGAACCCAGGUGUUGUUAUACCACACGAAGUACGAUGGGACCUGGGGUCAAUAGUUAAAAAGGUCGAGUUGCGUCCCCUAGACAGUCUGUGUUUUGUGUU